CUCUCUUGACAAACACCCAAAUUGAUCCGAUGGCUCAGUGCUGGUUAAAUUGUAUUGGGUCUUCCACUUGACUUUUUUGUUUCAUAACCCUCGACUGAAAAUGGAUUGAUGGAUGGAUGGAACCCUCAAGAUCACUUAGUAAUUUCCAAAUGACUGUCUUACUGUGGCCCACCUCAGCAGUGAUGGUGCUCUGAGAGAGAACCAUAUGCUGUUCAAUGACUAACAAAUCAAGAUGGUGUUAUUUACUUUGUUGUUUGAAGUGUUUUAUUCAAUAGAGAGUCUCACAGUCUUAUAAAUUAGUAUAUAUUAGGUUAUUUUGUUGCAGUUGCUGCUUGGGUUAGGGUCGGAGUCCUGGUUUUUGACAUCACAAUAAAUCACUGAUAAAUAAUUUGUUCUCACCACCAUUAAAUAAAGUGUUUUAAUUCAUGCAUUAAAACAUAAUCACAUAUUAGUUUAGACAUUUUAUAUGUCAGACUUUGAUUCUCAUAGCAUUACCACGUAACCACAAUUUUGCAUAAAGGUAAAUAAUUUGGUUAUUCUUUAAUAAUUUGGAAAAAUAUAACUUUAUAUAUAAUUGUUGUGUGGUGGGGUGAGUACGCUUCAUCUCUAUAACAUCUUUGAGCUCUUCAUUUCAGGAGAGGGAGCUCACCAGCUGCAGGGUAUUAGCAAUCAGCGGCAGCUGCAGCUUCUCAGGUCAUCUGCAGCAGAGCUCUAUUUAAGAGGAGAGGGAACCACUACACAGCGCUGGAUGAUUAACUACUCAUUGAUCACUGGACAAUCUUCCCUGACGCUCUGGGUUUGUUGGAUAUUAUCCUCCAUCCAAGAAGCAGAACCUUACUGGAUUACUCACCUGGAAAGAACCAUACCUUCCUGGACUUCACGGUUCGCCUCUCCUCUUAUUCCUCUGCCACCCUGCCUGGCUCCCUCUCCUGGACUCACCCCGUCACUCCACCUGCCCUCCUCGACCUCCUCCACCUGCAGAACUUGGACUCUCUCAGGCUCCAACUACUCUGGGUUUAUUCCAGGGACACCUUUUGUUAGAUUCCUUAAAUAAAUCAUUGUUUUGAACUUU
Non-coding RNA from Nothobranchius furzeri (turquoise killifish), 1072 nucleotides. The record is from RefSeq and is a predicted model, not a curated record. Lineage: Eukaryota; Metazoa; Chordata; Actinopteri; Cyprinodontiformes; Nothobranchiidae.